Molecule: ribosomal RNA, 253 nt
Filed under: uncultured bacterium
Lineage: Bacteria
Description: partial 16S ribosomal RNA
Rfam family: Bacterial small subunit ribosomal RNA
Source: RNAcentral
UACGGAAGGUGCAAGCGUUAAUCGGAAUCACUGGGCGUAAAGCGCACGUAGGCGGUGCGGUCAGUCAGAUGUGAAAGCCCUCGGCUCAACCGGGGAACUGCAUUUGAUACUGCCGUACUUGAGUACUGGAGAGGCAGGCGGAAUUCCAGGUGUAGGAGUGAAAUCCGUAGAUAUCUGGAGGAACACCGGUGGCGAAGGCGGCCUGCUGGACAGAUACUGACGCUGAGGUGCGAAAGCGUGGGGAGCAAACAGG